RNAcentral lists this long non-coding RNA (2817 nucleotides) under Zea mays. RNAcentral describes it as "long non-coding RNA (ZMAY_LNC005525)". Lineage: Eukaryota; Viridiplantae; Streptophyta; Magnoliopsida; Poales; Poaceae. The record is from RNAcentral.
GCAGACUCAAAUAGAAAACGCCAUUGUUGAGAUGAUGCCGGACACCGCGGAUCUUCAACACCACCCAACCGAAUCCUCAACCGCCGCCGUGAACCGCGGACCUGACUCCGCGCGUGCUUGGACUCAAGUUCGUCCCCGGCUGGUGGGGUCCCACCUAUCAUCAUCUAGCGCCGUCGGGGUAAAAACCAGGCAGAGCUCACGGUGAAUUCUCCGGCGAUGGCUUGCGCUCCUCAACGGUCUCCGCCCAUCUAUAAAACCAUGGCGUGGGUUUUCCCUCCCCUCAUCCUUCUCCUCUGUGUACCGCGCGACCUAUGAGAGUGUGGGCAUGGUAGACCGAACCGGGGCGGAAUCCGUUCACCGCCGUUUGGCCUUCUCGCCAGCGUCUUGCUCCUCGUGACAGCACCGGAGGGGCCGCCUAGGAGGAGGGAGUCUAGUGCUGACCUCGGGCAGAGGUGAUGGCCACUGUCGCGGCGGCGAUUCCUCACCGUCGUGGUCACGGUGUCGUAGUUCCGCUCCGCGCCGUGGACUGGGUCAGCUACGUCUCCAUCCCUGGUAUGAUACCCAUGACUAGGUUCACCUUAAGCUCCUCAUCAAUUAGCACCGAUCAGUCUUGUGUUUGGGGAACCAGAGCCUCGACGGGUGUUCUCCAGCCAUGGUGCCACCGUCGGCCCGGGUAGCGCUGUCGUAACUGGGCGACUGGAGGAUAGGGUCACGACCGUAGGGUUAGAUGGGGGGAGAGCGCUCGACCGCUGAUCUAAUGAUGAACGACUCCGAUUAGAAAACGGGUACCGCCCCUUUUGUGGGAUUGUCCUGGGUCCUCGGAUCACGAUCCUGCGACUUGGAUCUGAUCUCGUGGAUUUUAAAUCGUCACCAUCGAUAGAGUAUCCAAUGGCCACAAAUCCUUAACGGGAUUACGGUAGAGUAGAUCUAAUCAUGGGCGCCGGUUUCAGAUCGAAUGGCCCAGAAUGUGGGAUACCCUUUGGCCAUGACAUUAUGCUAAACAGCCCCCAUGGAAACUGUGAAACAACCCAUCGUCCUGGCCAUAGUCAAAGCCUUACUUUGGGUCCCUGAAACUUGUAAAACAACCCCUGUGCUCUCUGGUUAUUAUGCACGUAGUCCAAGAAAUACAGAAAAUAGGAAAAAGGAAUAUAGAAAUUGGUUUUUAAACAAAAAUAAUUCUAGAAACUUGAAAAAUUCAUAUUUAAUUCAUUUUAAGUCCAAAUUAAUCCAUUUCAAUUUCUAUAAUUUUGUAAUAUUAUUGUUUAUCAUUUAGUACCACUGUUUUGACAUGAAUAUCACAAUAAAAUUUGUAUCCUAAUUAAUCUUGUACAAAACACAUAGAAUCUUUGGAAAUCCAUAACUUAAAAUCUAUAACUCCAAAAUUAAUAAUUCAUGUUCCUGUGAUCUUAUUUCAAUAUGUAGAUUAUUAAUAUGUAUUAUAUAUAUAUAUAUAUAUAUAUAUGUUUGGUGUGAUGUUAAUUUUGCCUAUACACUGUUUGUUUGCAUUGCUACGACUAGCGUGAGGUCACGAGUCACCUGAAGAGCAAGUUGGUACCUGCAAACUCAAGUGUCAGGCAAGUUGUGCCCUUGAUCACUUCUUUUUACCCAUUCAUGUUCUGAUUAAUCAUAAUGAUCUGCAUAGGUUAAUUUUGAUGGGACCCAAUAGGUCACCCUAGUUUGACUAUCUUUAUGCCUUGUUUACCACUGAACUUUUUGGGUAGUACUUGCUAGUGCUAUAUGUGGAUUUGGGCAUUGAGAUACACAUUAUUCAUACUUUUGUUAUCAGUUGUUAUUUACUAUUCAUGCUAAUAUCAUUAUGUUAAUUGGAACAUGGAGCGACCACCCGGAAAAACAGUGCUACCACAAGGGUAGUAUGGGAUGCCCUUGGCUAAUUAACUAGGAAAGCUAGUGGAUGACUACCUUACCCGAAAGGGGCAAGGGCAGUAGGGGAGUGGUCAGUGUAGGGAGGUCCUUGGGUUGAUUUUGCUGCGAUGGUGGUCAGGCGAGGGAUCCCUGCAUUGGAGCUUCCUAUAAACUGUAGCGGUUUUUCUGAAGCUAGUGGAACUUUGUAAAAGCCUCGUAGUGUUACCAUGCCUCGCUUCCUUGGUAAAGGUGUAUGGGGCCCGUACAACCCCGUGGCAGAUGGGUAACAUGACUUGUGGGUAAAGAUGCGCAACCUCUGCAGAGUGUAAAACGGGUAUACUAGCCGUGCUCAUGGUCAUGAGCAGCUCGGACCCUCACAUGAUUAAUUUAUGGAACUAAAUUCAAUUUGUCAUAUGCAUUGCAUCGCAGGUGAUGUUUUUACUUUUGUUCUACUACUUAAUUAGGUUGGUAUUUACUUAUACUUAGUAACUGCUAAUAAAAUUUUGACCAACUUUAAAAGCAAUGCUCAGCUCUAACCAUCCUCUCUGGUAAGCCUUACACUUCACGUGAGCUCUCACCUUUGGUGAGUUCAUGCACAUUAUUCCCCACGACUUGUUGAACUAUGAACGUAUGUGAGCUCACUCUUGCUGUCUCACCCCCCACAGGUGAAGAACAGGUACCACAGGAUGAGGCGCAUGGAGGAUGCUGUGACGAGUUCGUGAGAGGUCUAGGCCGUCGUCUCCCAGUCAACUUUGGGGUUGUUGGACCGUUGUUUCCUUAUAAUGUAAUUAUUUAUUUAUUUUGUAUAGAACUUGUAUUAUAUAGUAAAGAUGUGACAUUCGAUCCUGUGUCAUGAUUCAUCAUAUGUGUGAGACUUGGCCUCAGUACACCUGGUGAUUAUGUUCAUGCCCGGGUUUUAGACCCUAAAAUCCGGGUGUUACAGUUUUAUCUACA